GACGAACGCUGGCGGCGUGCCUAACACAUGCAAGUCGAGCGGAGGGGAUAGGAGCUUGCUUCUUGAACCUUAGCGGCGGACGGGUGAGUAACACGUGGGCAACCUGCCUCUAAGAGGGGGAUAACACAGAGAAAUCUGUGCUAAUACCGCAUAAAGCUGUAGCUUUGCAUGAAGAGACAGCCAAAGGAGAAAUCCGCUUAGAGAUGGGCCCGCGGCGCAUUAGCUAGUUGGUGAGGUAACGGCUCACCAAGGCGACGAUGCGUAGCCGACCUGAGAGGGUGAUCGGCCACAUUGGAACUGAGACACGGUCCAGACUCCUACGGGUGGCAG
This 330-nucleotide ribosomal RNA is filed under the name uncultured Bacillota bacterium. RNAcentral describes it as "bacterial SSU rRNA". It matches the Rfam family "Bacterial small subunit ribosomal RNA", at positions 28 to 351 of the family's 1533-position model. The record is from RNAcentral. Lineage: Bacteria; Bacillati; Bacillota.